UCAUCUCAGUGUGACUGGGUUCCCAUGUCAAACUGUAGAUCACAUUGUGACCAGCUAUAAACUAAGGGCAUAUAUACAAUGUGGUAUCUGAUUUUUUUCAAUACAAACUAUGUUGCACUUCAAUAGUUAGAUGGCCUAGACAUUGGUAUUUGAACAGAUCUUUUUAACAUUUAUUUUCUAUUGUGUUUUAAUAAUCUAGAUGAAAUGUUAAUAUAUAUUGCUAAUCCAUGUAUGAUAUGCCAUAUGAUAACCAUAUUCUUGACAAUGAGCUAGAAAAACACAAUAAAAGAAGUGAGUGAUAACAACACAACAAGACAAUUGGCUUCAAAUUACAGAUCCCUGUAAAGAUUUGCAACAAACACACCAGGAUUAAAAGAACAGGUGCUUGCUUUGAUGGACAGCUUCCGAACCAGUUCUUUUUUAUAAUCAAGAAAUCCCAUGUAAUUAUA
Molecule: long non-coding RNA, 449 nt
Organism: Ahaetulla prasina
Lineage: Eukaryota; Metazoa; Chordata; Lepidosauria; Squamata; Colubridae
Exons: 2
Source: RefSeq, a predicted model, not a curated record